Long non-coding RNA from Cervus elaphus (red deer), 151 nucleotides. RefSeq lists it as uncharacterized. Lineage: Eukaryota; Metazoa; Chordata; Mammalia; Artiodactyla; Cervidae. The transcript is spliced from 3 exons. The record is from RefSeq and is a predicted model, not a curated record.
AAAUAUGUUGAAUAAAACUGGCGAGAGUGGGCAUUCUUAUCUUCUUCCUGAUCUUAGAGGAAAUGCUUUCAGUUUUCACCAUUGAGUAUGAUAUUAGCUAUGGGUUUUUCAUAGAUGGCCUUUAUUACAUUGAGGGCUGAAGUGUAAAAGC